GGAGGUGUAGUCCUAACUGGUAAGGCAGCGGUCUUGAAAACCGCCGGGUUUACGCCCUUGGGGGUUCGAAUCCCUCCACCUCCG
This 84-nucleotide transfer RNA is filed under the name Bacteroidota bacterium. RNAcentral's name for it is "Bacteroidetes bacterium (marine metagenome) tRNA-Ser". It matches the Rfam family "tRNA". From Rfam's summary of the family: Transfer RNA (tRNA) molecules are approximately 80 nucleotides in length. Lineage: Bacteria; Pseudomonadati; Bacteroidota. The record is from RNAcentral.